CAGUCGCCGCGGGAAUACGAAGGGUGCAAGCGUUAAUCGGAAUUACUGGGCGUAAAGCGUGCGUAGGCGGUUUGUUAAGUCUGCUGUGAAAUCCCCGGGCUCAACCUGGGAAUGGCAGUGGAUACUGGCAAGCUAGAGUGUGUCAGAGGAUGGUGGAAUUCCCGGUGUAGCGGUGAAAUGCGUAGAGAUCGGGAGGAACAUCAGUGGCGAAGGCGGCCAUCUGGGACAACACUGACGCUGAGGCACGAAAGCGUGGGGAGCAAACAGGAUUAGAUACCCGCGUAGUCCCUGUCUCUUAUAA
This 301-nucleotide ribosomal RNA is filed under the name uncultured bacterium. Its description in RNAcentral is "partial 16S ribosomal RNA". It matches the Rfam family "Bacterial small subunit ribosomal RNA", at positions 509 to 809 of the family's 1533-position model. The record is from RNAcentral.